CCGGCAUCCGUAACCAAGCUGGAGGUGCUUAAGAUUCUGGGAGCUUGGGGACAGACUUCGGCAACAAAAGACAGAUUAGCAAGAGGAAAACAAGCCUGCUCACUGCCGAGGGCGGCCUGGGUGAAGAGCGACUCAACGCAAUGGCUUCUGCCACAACAUUGCAGCUGCAUGGACCAGGUGCAAACCCAACUGUCUGUCCCCAACUGUAAGCCUUGGGGAUCACUGGCCUGUGUGUACCUGGAUUAAAUCUCUGAGGUUUACUGACCGUAAGUCCCUAUGAGUCCUUGGGGGAGGACACCAUCCUGAUGCUGGCAAACAAGAUUGGAGGCUGUGAGCUGCAGGAAUGCUGUUGUCAGGAGGACAGCGAGGACCAGAGAGGAUCAGAUACCUUGAAGAGCUGCAGUGGAGGAUGGAUGGGCAGAACAUGAGGCCUGCUGGGAACUGAAGGUAAGAGUUCCCUGGUUGGAAAAAGCAGGGGGUGUGUCUAAGGCAGAAAGCACAGGUGAGACAUAAGCCACAUUUUAUAGUUGCCUGGCCCUCUCUAGAGAAUCAAGGACACUGGAGAACCAGGAGCCAAUGGAGAGGACCUGCAGAGGCAUCCUUGGAAGGCUACUGGAAGAUUUAAAUGUCAUGCUGAAGUCCGUAGUUUUUGAGAGAAACUUUGUGAUUGGAAGUCUUGCCUCCAAUUCUUUUCUUUUCUCUCUCCACUGAGGAUACAGGACAAGUUACUUAAACCUCUCUGGGUCUCAGUUUCCUCAUCUGUGAAAUGAGAUUGUGGAAUUACCCCACCAUAUAGGGUUGAGGGUGAGGAUUGAAUUUAAACCACAUGCUUCCCACUGAGCUUACCCUAGCUGGUGACAGGACAGACAGGACAGCCUCUGUUGGAUUGGGUUCCUAUGGAGUCUGUGUGUGUGUGUGUGUGUGUGUGUGUGUGUGUGUGUGUGUGUGUGACUUGGAGUCUCUCACCUCAGAAGAACCUGGAGUGUUGAGUGGGCAGGAUCAUAGAUCUCAUUAAAGAAGCCAAGUCUGUGAGAGGUGAAGCACCUUCUCCAAGCUUGUAUGGUUGAGUUGGAGUGGAGAGAUUGAGACAUGUCCAUGUCGCUGUUUGACUCUGGAGGCUAGGCUGGUGUCUGAGUCUGGUGGGGCUGCUCCAGGCCUCCUUCCCCUCUAGGAGGCUCCUGUAUCUUGGUCUGAGUGAACAUGACCCCAGAUGUUGAGGGAACAGCCAGCUGGAAGCUGACAGGUGCCUCCUUCCCUGCCCUGUCCUCAUUCUGUCCUCUCAGCCUAGCACAGGACAGCCCUGCUCACUCCCCAUGGGAAGUUCCUGGAUGGAACGGAGGCCCAGGGCCCAGGCUCUCCUCAUGAUAAUGUAAGCACGGCAUUUCCGUUGAAAUCCCUGCCUGGAUGAGCCGCUGGCUAGAGGGUUUAACUCGUGUACACAGGCAGAGCUCAUGGGCUUGUCCCUAAUAUUUAUUCUGGUGACUGUAACAUGCAGAUAAGGUGAGUGCCUGGCGCCAGCACGCAGAAUAAAUUUACAUUCUGGAAGCCACAAAGAGCUGAGUAUACACAGCAUUAUGGGCCUGGCUGGGGGCCUAGGGAGGGGGAAGCCAGCUCCCUCCUCAGCAGGUUCUGGCUGUGAUUCUCAAAGCUGAGGCUAGCCUUGCACUUGAAGCACAGUGUAAGUUGACAGCGUCUAGGCCUGAGGUCUGCACACAGACCUGAAAGUUUGACUUUUGUGAUGGGAAACCUCAACCACCAUCUUGCUCGGACACCCAGCCCAUCCACACUGUUCCACAGAGGACAUCUGAGGCUUCGGAGCUUGCCCUUGUGUGGCCUUCCUGCCCCUCAGCUGGAUCAGAGCUCCUUCAGCUACAACCCCUAAGCCCACAAGAGGAGAGGUGCUCUCCCUUUGCUUGCUCAGGAGUCUCAGCACAGGGAUGACAAUAUAUGUGUAUCCUGAGUGCUGCCUGCUGCGGUGGGUCUGCCUUGUGAGGCUGGAUGUGGGGGACAGGGUAACAUGGUCCUGGUGGAAGGGAAUGAGCCCCAUCCCCCCUCUGCAUUCAUUUUCCUCCUUCUAGAAGCCUUGGAUUGGAGGUGCCUUCUGGGAAGACUAGGACCAAGGCCUGUGUCAGUCAGAGUCUUGGUGUUUCCAGUCCCUAGCUGAGCAACCUUGGAAAAAAAAUACUUGACAUCUCUGUGCUCAGCUUCUUCCACUAUAACCUGGGGUUGGUGAGAAUUCCCUUCUCAUGCUAAGGUGACUAAGCACCUGGCACACAGUAGGCACUCAAUAAGCGUUUCAAUCUUUUGGUGCCACAUAUUCAUGCUCGCUAUAGAGCAUGCUCAGGGAAAGAGGCACUAAACAAUGAGGGAGAUGCAACCAUGAGCAUCGGUCUUGCUGCUGGCUCCCUGGUGUCAGAAGAUGGUGGGGGUGGCGGCUUUGCAAGCGCACAACAGUAUGGGCCUCUACAACUGGACUGCUCCAUGCUGCUGCUAAUGGCUCACCACUCUUCCAGGAGGCCAGCUGGCAAGCCGACGGUGUUGGUCCUCUUCCAUGUGGAAAGGCCUAGCGGUUGUUUACCCAGGAAUAGAUGGGUGUUCCUGGUAGGCAGUUAUCUUUCCCGCCUGCAGGGCCUCAGACUGCUCCACUAUGCAGAACACCAGGCCAGGGACUGAGUUACCUCGAGCAGGCGCAGCAGCAGGCUGGGCAGUAAAGAGCAAGAUCUGCAUAGUAUUUGCACCUCCCGGAAACUGCCAGCCUUACAGAGGGGUGCCCUGUCCUUCUGAGAGCCCAGCUCAAGGACCACAUUGGAGCAAGAGUUCUGAGGAUGGUCCUCCAGCCUGCAAGACACACUCCAAAUAUAGAAUGCUGGUACUUCAGCAGGAGAUCUGUCCUCAGCAGGAAUACAGGGGACUUGAGUCUGGGGAGAUUGCUUCCCAGUUGGUAGAGUGCUUGUUGUGCAAGCUUGAGGACUUGAGUUCCACCCAUUGAACCCACAUUAGAAAAACAAAACAAAUACACAAAAAAGGUGUGGCGGCAUGCACUUGCCACCCCAGAACUGGUGAGGUAGAAGCAUGCAGAACCCCAGAGCUGACAACAAGUCUAGCCACUCCGCCAGCUCACAAAACAAAGGGCAGGACCUCUCUGGGAGGGCAUGGUGGCCAGGGCUCAGGCUCUCUGGGGAAUAGGAACUGGGCCUCCAGAUGGGUUACCAAGGAUAUACUGUCAGAGGCUGGGGAGGACUUGAAUCUCAGGGAAGUAGUAGGUCUGCCUCUGUUUGAGGACUCUACCUACCUCUACCUUCUGGGAGGCUGUGUGGCCACCGAAUGCUCCAGCGGGACCCCAUCUCUCUCGAGGGUCCAUUAGCAGAAAGGGAGUGGGGGAGCCUGGGUGGAGUGAGACAGACUUGGGGGCCCAGCACCCUUUUGCCUUGACCCCUGACCCUGCAACUUCAGAGUGCUGUGAGCACAAGCCCUCUGAGCAUCUCGGUACAUUCUCAGCCUCACUCUAGGGAGCAGCUUGGUGUCUGAUGGACCAGUUCUGCCUAUUGCCCAUCACCUCUCUGCUCCCUGACCCCUGGGGACCUACCGGGGCAGUUUAUGGGUCCUUCUUUGCCCUUCCCUGCUUGCUGACCUCUCAUUCUCUUCUUUCCCCAAACCCAUCUCCCUGCCUGCCUCUCCUUAGUCUAUUUAGUAACAUAGCAGAGGCCUGUAUAAUUUGGUGUCAGUUAAAGCUCAGUGGGGACCCAGCACCCAUUACCUAACUAGCUGGGUGGUGCUGGAUGGUAAACAACCUACCUCUCCCUGCCUCAGCUUCCCUCUCUACUAUACAGUUACAGAAUAAAGUCCCCAGGCUUUCAGUCUGCAGACCGUGGAUAGGAAAACGCUUGAUAAAGGAAAUCACACAGCAUUGACUGAAAUUCUGUCUGCUCAGACCUGUGCCUGAGGUGCAGCUUGAGGACUAUAGGAGGGCCAGGCUAGGUCUGAGACCUGCAGGGAAAGAGGCCUGGGUGUAGGGUGGGGGUUGAUGCUAGGAUGUCCCAGUACAGAAGGGUUGUGUGGAUGCUGGGUGGAUGGCAGGCAGGGUGUGUGGAUGCUGGGUGGAUGGCAGGCAGGGUGGGCUGAGCAAGGGUGGGGUAUGUGGUGGAAUGUUCCCAAUUCCUGCUCCCUCCUCCUCCUUCCAGGAAGCCUCACUCCCCUGCACAGCUGCUGCGACACAUUUUCGUAUCAGGACAUCCAGAUCUAUCCAAACAAGAGGUGGCGGCAAUCUGAGACGUCUACACAAUCUGGGAAUUGAGGGUACUUGUGGGCACACCUUUGCCUAUGUUUCCCCAAAACCCUGGGUUGGAGAGGGAGAGGACAUCCUGGUUGUUGAGGCUAGGCUGUGGUACCGGAAAUGAAUGGAUUCCAAAGAAUGUACCAAAUUCACAGAAGGCAACAUCCCUGGUCCCAGCUGUCCAUUCUGGGAGUCCUCAAGUAAUGGUUCUCAGAUGCCCCUGCCCUGAUGUUGAUGCUUUGCUGACAAUGACAGAUGUGCAGGUGGUUGCAGUGAGCUUGCAGGGCCAGGAGACAGCAACAGGGCUGUCCACCUCCAUGCAGUUGGCAUGGACCCACAAGGAAGUACAAUGAUUAACACUAGGACUGUGGGUGUGUUAACAUUGUGGAGGUCAGAUGCAGCCCAAUAGAAAAGAAGGGCCUGGACUAGCUUGGGGCUCUGUGGGUGGGGCCCUAGGUUUCAAGCCACCAAGAUGACCAGGAAAGCCUCAGCAGACUCCCACACACACAGCUGAUGAAUUCCCUAGGGAUUUGGGCCUAGGAAUGGCUUCAGAUCAUGGCUGUACCCUCCUCAGUGGUUCAUGGUAGAGAGGGAGUCUUUGGGACCCAAGUGCAAAGCUUAGCACACGCUCUCAGCAUUGUGGCACUGGAUAUACCAUUUAAACACCCUCUUUGCUGACACAUACGCCUAUUCAGGGUGCCCCCUAGACAUCUGCAGGUCCUCCAGGGUUUGUGUCACUGAAGCCUGCUGUGGACGCGGCUUCUUGGCACUUCUUCAGAAACCAGGUGUUAAGAGCUCUGUGACAGCCCAAAAUCCUGCUGGACGGCCAGGGCCUUACAGUCUUUCUUCUCAUUGUCAGCCCACAGUGAACAUAUCUGACCACAGGCUUCUUGUGCUUUUGUAUGUGCAGGGGUGUGCCACCUAUACAUGUAUUUGUGUCAAUGUGUGCACACAUGUGGUUAUCUAUGUAGAAGCCAGAGGCAGGCACUGGUGAGCUCCAUCACUCUCCACCCUAUUUUGAGGCAGCGUCUCUCCGUGAACUGUACCUCACCGAAUCAGCUACACUGGCUGGCCUGUGAGCCCUGGGGAUUUACCUGUCUGCCUCCCCAGCACUGGGAUUACAGAGGCCUGUUGCCACGACAGCUGGCUUUUUACACAGCCUCUAGGGAUUGAAUCCAGGUCCUGUCCUAACUGAUCCCUCUCCUGAGCCCCCUGGAGCACUGGUCUUUCUACAGAUGAGGGUCUCUGCUUAUAAUUGCCUUCCACAUGCUGUGCAUGAGAAUGGCUGGUUCACUCCCCCUUGCCAGCACCAAUUACUCUCUUCCUGUUUAGUCUCUCUGCUAAUUACACAUCAUCACUGGAGGCACAGACAGACUCUGGCCUGGAGCACUGGGUAAUAAUGAGACUGUAGCAAGUGGCUUCUAGCAAUGAUUUGAGGGUGGUGGCAGCAGAGGCCAGGAAAGCAGCCGAGGCCUGAGUUUCCAGCCGCGCUCACUGCCUGUGUGACCUGGGCAUGUUUUGUUUCCCUCUCUGAGUCUUUGUCUAUCAGGCUGUCUCAGGCACCUCUGGGUUGGCUUCCCCGCCUCCGCCCUAUCUCUUGCCUUGAACAGCAAGCGGAUCACACUUGCUACAGCGCUGGUAUUUGCUGCAGCCUGAGCUGACAAAGUGACCUUUUGAGAGGGAGGAUUCCUCCAUCUCAUUAUGCGGCCUCCAACCUUUGCUCAGGCUCCAGCCAUCCUGUUUAUUCUUCUCAUGAAUUUCUGCUUCUACUUAGAAUAAGAAAAACGGUCGAGAUGGAAAAUGACAAAAAUGAAAAAAGGGUCCGACAACUUAUAAAACCCAAACUUCCCCUGAGCCCUACAGAGAUCUGGCAUGAUGAGGUAGUCAGGGAAACGGGAGGCAGGGCUGGGUCUUCGGGCUCCGUGAUGAACGCUUUAAAAAUGUUUUAUUACAUUUUACUUAUUUAUUUUGUGUGUGGAGAGGGGGUAUAAACACACCCUGGUGUGCCCUGGAGGUCAGGGGACAGCUUCAGGACUCCAUUCUUUCCUUCCACUGCGCGCGCGUGUGAACUAUCCGGUUGAUGAACUCUUAAAGGCACAGGGUGCACCAGAGGAACUCAGCACUCAGCGCCUCUGGUGCCCUGGACACAAGCAGGGGCUCACAUUUCCUCUUAGGGGAUACAGGAGAAAAGCAGGAGAUGGCUACCACUCUGGACACGAGACAUGAAAGGCAUCUGCCUGGAGAGACAACGCCUGUGUGGCAUUGGCUUCACGGAUGGUUCGCUGCCUAGGCUUAUGUCAGCUUGACACACAGACUGGAGUUAUCUGAAAGGAGAGAACCUCAGUUGAGAAAAUGCCUCCAUGAGAUCUGGCUGUAUGGCAUUUUCUUAAUUAGUGAUUGAUGGGGGAGAGCCCAGUCCAUUGUGGAUGGCUCUACCCUUGGGCUGGUGGUCCCGGACUCUAGAAGAAAGCAGCGUGAGCAAGCCAUGAGGAACAAACCAGUGAGCAGCUAGAGUUCUAUUGCUGUGAGGAGACACCAGGACCAUGGCAGCUCUUAUAAAGGAAAACAUUUAAUUGGGGCUGGUCUCCAGUUCCAGCAGUUUAGUCCAUUGCUGUCAUGGCAGGAAGCAUGGCAGCAUGCAGGCAGGCUCAGUGUUGGAUCUGCAGGCAGCAGGAAAAGUGAGUGACAUUGGGCCUGGUUUGAGCAUCUGAAACCUCAAAGCCCAGCCCCCCUCCCCUCAGAGGCACACUUCCUCCAACAAGGCCACCAGUCUCCUAAUAGUGCCACACCCUGUUGGCCAUUUUCACUCAGACCACUGCAUGUUCUGACUUCCUUUGAUAAUGAACAGCAAUAUGAAAGAGUAAGACAAGUAAACCCUUUCCUUCCUAA
Mesocricetus auratus (golden hamster) is the source of this 7162-nucleotide long non-coding RNA. RefSeq lists it as uncharacterized. Lineage: Eukaryota; Metazoa; Chordata; Mammalia; Rodentia; Cricetidae. The record is from RefSeq and is a predicted model, not a curated record. The transcript has 3 exons.